CUCAUGUGCUUUGAGUGCUCUGCUACUGCCAGGACCAAGACAAGUAAUAAAGAGAAGAAAGAAAGAGUUCC
This 71-nucleotide long non-coding RNA is filed under the name Vombatus ursinus (common wombat). Its description in RNAcentral is "lncRNA (ENSVURG00010014061.1)". Lineage: Eukaryota; Metazoa; Chordata; Mammalia; Diprotodontia; Vombatidae. The record is from RNAcentral.